Molecule: ribosomal RNA, 376 nt
Filed under: uncultured bacterium
Lineage: Bacteria
Description: bacterial SSU rRNA
Rfam family: Bacterial small subunit ribosomal RNA
Source: RNAcentral
UACAGGGGGUGCAAGCGUUGUUCGGAAUUAUUGGGCGUAAAGCGCGUGUAGGCGGACCAUUAAGUCUGGUGUGAAAUCCCUCGGCUUAACCGAGGACGUGCAUUGGAUACUGGUGGUCUUGAGUCCUGGAGAGGGUAGCGGAAUUCCCAGUGUAGAGGUGAAAUUCGUAGAUAUUGGGAGGAACACCGGUGGCGAAGGCGGCUACCUGGACAGUGACUGACGCUGAGACGCGAAAGCAUGGGUAGCAAACAGGAUUAGAUACCCUGGUAGUCCAUGCCGUAAACGAUGGGUGCUAGUUGGUGCGGGUAUUGACCCCUGCGCUGACGAAGCUAACGCGUUAAGCACCCCGCCUGGGGAGUACGGCCGCAAGGCUAAA